Molecule: ribosomal RNA, 505 nt
Filed under: uncultured bacterium
Lineage: Bacteria
Description: bacterial SSU rRNA
Rfam family: Bacterial small subunit ribosomal RNA
Source: RNAcentral
GACGAACGCUGGCGGCGUGGAUUAGGCAUGCAAGUCGAACGGUAUCAUCCUUUCGGGGGUGAGAGAGUGGCGAACUGGUGAGUAACACGUAGGUUAUCUACCCUCAAGACGGGGACAACCCAGGGAAACUUGGGCUAAUACCGGAUGUGAGCAACUUUUAGUUGUUUGAAAGGUGGCGUAAGCUGUCGCUUGGGGAUGAGCCUGCGUCCUAUUAGUUAGUUGGUGAGGUAACGGCUCACCUAGGCAAUGAUAGGUAGGCGGCCUUAACGGGUGGUCGCCCACACUGGGAUUGAGAUACGGCCCAGACUCCUACGGGAGGCAGCAGUCGAGAAUAGUCUACAAUGGUCGGAAGACUGAUAGUGCGACGCCGCGUGAACGAUGAAUCCCUUCGGGUCGUAAAGUUCUUUUAUAUGUGAGCAGUGCUUCUUAUAUUAACAGUAUGGGGAGAGAGAUAUUAGCAUAUGAAUAAGCAACGGCUAACUCCGUGCCAGCAGCCGCGGUAAUA